CUACGGGGGGCUCCAGUGGGGAAUAUUGCACAAUGGGCGCAAGCCUGAUGCAGCAACGCCGCGUGAGGGAUGAAGGCCUUCGGGUUGUAAACCUCUGUCAGAAGGGAAGAAGUGCAUAGGGUCCAAUAGGCCUUAUGUUUGACGGUACCUUCAGAGGAAGCACCGGCUAACUCCGUGCCAGCAGCCGCGGUAAUACGGAGGGUGCAAGCGUUAUUCGGAAUUACUGGGCGUAAAGCGUACGUAGGCGGCGAGGUAAGUCAGGUGUGAAAUCCCACGGCUCAACCGUGGAACUGCACUUGAAACUGCUUUGCUCGAGUACUGGAGGGGAUGGCGGAAUUCCUGGUGUAGGAGUGAAAUCCGUAGAUAUCAGGAGGAACACCGGUGGCGAAGGCGGCCAUCUGGACAGUAACUGACGCUGAGGUACGAAAGCGUGGGGAGCAAACAGGAUUAGAUACCCGGGUAGUC
RNAcentral lists this ribosomal RNA (465 nucleotides) under uncultured bacterium. RNAcentral's name for it is "partial 16S ribosomal RNA". It matches the Rfam family "Bacterial small subunit ribosomal RNA", at positions 339 to 795 of the family's 1533-position model. The record is from RNAcentral.